Molecule: ribosomal RNA, 6227 nt
Filed under: Cordyceps sp. 97003
Lineage: Eukaryota; Fungi; Ascomycota; Sordariomycetes; Hypocreales; Cordycipitaceae
Source: RNAcentral
UUUUAAUUUAAAGUUAGAGUAUUGCUCCUGCAAUAAGACAAAAAAUUAAAAAGUGGUGUACAGGUGAGUAUUAAGAUAUUCUUAGCCGGCCUUAAAGUGGAGAUAAAUUCUUCAUAAUAAAUAAAGGGCAGGUAAUAACCCGCUUUAAGAGGAUAAUAAAUGUUUUCGGAAUAGGUAGUAGUCAAGGUGAUGGCUUAACUAGCCUUAAACUUUCGUAGUCGAAUCUGAGAGGUUGAUCGACCACAUUGGGUCUGAAAAAACCCCAAUGCAAUUUAGUACAGCAGUGAGGAAUCUUGGUCAAUGGCCUAAUGGCUGAACUGGCAACUUGGAGAAGUGGUAAGUCCUAAUAAACCACCAAAAAAUUAAUUAAGAUUAAUUUUAAUUAGUAGUCCAUUACCUUAAAAUAAUAAGAUUUUUUUUUUCAUCAUUUAGGUUUAUAGAAGGGAUUGAAUUAAGAAAGAAAUGAAACUUUGUUUAUAUAUAGAUAAUGACAGUAUAUAUAUAGUGUCUUGACUAAUUUACGUGCCAGCAGUCGCGGUAAUACGUGAGAGACUAGUGUUAUUCAUCUUAAUUGGGUGCUUUGUGAGGUAGGAUUUCACUUGUGUGCCGUAAACCAUCAAACACCGGGGACCUCCUAAAGCUUAUGCUAUUAAACCUUAUACGAAAGUGUAAGAGUGGCUGAACUAAUUAUUCAGGUAAAGAAAUAAGUCAUAAGAUGAUUGAAAAUGAAAUGGAAUAUCGCGGAUCUAAAUCAGUAAUACAAAAGGUUAAUAAUAUUACUGUAAAAGAGCAACGAGUAGACGGUGGUUACAUUAAGAAAUUAAUGUUAAGGUGUACUCUAAUGGAUUUCGAAAGAAAUUAUCAGGGCAGAGUCCUUUCUAAUUUAAUAAAUAAAAAUUUAAAAAGAUUCUACUCAAAUACCACCAAGGUAACUAAACAAGAUGAAAUGGGGAUAGAUCCUUGAUUUAUUACAGGAUUUACGGAUGGUGAAGGUUGCUUUAGAAUUUCUUUUACAAAGAGAGAUAAUCUGGUAGGUUGGAGAGUCCAACUCUUUUUUCAAAUUACUUUACAUCAAAAAGAUAAACUNUUAUUAGAAAAGAUUCUGGGGUGUAGGUAAAAUAUAUAAAUCUGGUAAAGAUAUGCUUCAAUAUAAGGUCCAAUCUCUGGCUGAAAUAGAAAUAAUCUUAAACCAUUUUAAUAAAUUCCCGCUUAUCAGUCAAAAAUGUGCAGAUUAUGAGCUUUUUAAGAAAGCGUAUAAUAUUGUUUUAAAUAAAGAACGAGGCUCCGCCUACUUAUUGAUGAAGGUUUACAUAAACUUAUUGCUUUAAGAGCUUCUGUAAAUUUAGGUCUAUCUGAGCAAUUGAAAACUGCUUUUCCUGUAAUUAUUCCAGUCGCUAGACCUUUAGUUCAAAGUCAAAAAGUUAAAGAUGCUAAUUGACUAGCAGGAUUUGUUUCAGAUGAGGGUUGUUUCAUAGUAGGACUGCGAAAAUCUAGCGGUUAUUCAGCUGGAUAUCAGGUUUACUUGACUUUUAUUAUUACUCAACAUAUUCGAGAUGAGCAGUUAAUGAAAAGUUUAACUGAGUAUUUAGGUUGUGGAAAUCUUAAUAAAAAGAGAAAAGUUUUUGAGUAUCAAGUAUCUAAAUUUGCAGAUUUGACUAAUAGAAUAAUUCCGUUUUUUAGUCUACAUUCUAUAUUAGGACAAAAAUCUAAAGAUUUUGAAGAUUUCAUCAAAGUCUCUCAAUUAAUGGAAAGACGAAUUCAUUUAACUAAAGAGGGGAUAGAUGAAAUUUGUAAAAUAAAAGAAAAAAUGAAUGCUGGGAGAGAAUGAAUUUAAACUAUUUAUUUAUUUAAAAGAUAAAUCUGUUAAAUCGUUAGUUUAAUGAGAACUACGAUAGCCGUGUUAAAGGGUACCUAGACAGUCAAUAUAACUUCUAGAAUGCUAAUACUUGACUAGAGUUUUAAGUAAGAGGGAAGUACUUAAGGAGUAAGAGAUGAAAUAUCUGUGAUACCAAAGGGACUCCGUAAAGGCGAAGGCAUUCCUUUAUCUAAAAACUAACGUUGAAGGACGAAGGCUUAGAUAACAAAUAGGAUUAGAGACCCUAGUAGUCUAAGCAGUAAACGAUGAAUGCUAUAGGUUAGAUUAAUAUUUGAUUUGGUCUAUAAAUGAAAAUGUAAGCAUUCCACCUCAAGAGUAAUGUGGCAACGCAGGAACUGAAAUCACUAGACCGUUUCUAACACCAGUAGUGAAGUAUGUGUGCGACAAGAAGCGGGUAUUAGUAAUACGGUGUGAUUCCGUUUGGUAUUUUCUCUACCUAACACUAUUUACACAUGCAAAUUAGCAAUGAUUUGUGUAAAGCUGUAAAGACAAUGUAGCCUCUCUUAAAUGGGAAUGUUAAUGUAGAUACUUUUUCUAUAUUACCUGGAGCUAGUGUAAGUAAGAUAUGGAAAGCGAAAGCGAAAUUAGCUACGACGCUUUAAUACUAGUGCACAAAGGAAGGUGAUAGGUUCGACAUACUAAUCUAUUAGAGAAACCAUAUUUCCGUUGAAGUAAAGCUAAUUUCCUAAGUCUUACAUAAAUUGUGCUAAUAUCUGAACUUGGUAACCCCUUUAUCUUCAGUAAUAUACUAUAUAUAUUAAAGAGGUAAUAUAUAAGACUUUCUUAGUUGAAAUUGUUAUAUCCGAUAAAGGGGAGAGGAUUUGUUAAAAAGCAAAUGCUUUAUUUGGAUUUCAAUUGAAGUAAAUCUAAAUAAUAGAUAAAGAUAUAUAUUAUAAUUUUUUUUGUAAAAGAAUAAAUUUCUUAUUAUUUACAAGUAUUUAGUUAUUUAAAUAUUUAUAUAUAAGCAAAAAUGAGCUGGAAUACUUUGUACUUCGUACUUCGUACUUUGUACUUCGUACUUCGUACUUCGUAGAAAAAUAUAAAAUGAUUUAGUACUUUAGUACCCUUNGCCCUGCACUUUGCCCUGCAUUGAUAGCAUGGCUGCGUGCGAAGCGCGGCUGCGAAGCGGGCACAAAAUAAUAUAAAUAAUCGUCUAUUUUUAUAUAUAAUCGGUUUAGUAGUAUUUUUUUUUUAUAAAAAAAAAAUAGCAGAAGGAAGUUUCGGUGUAACUCUCGUUAGAAAAGAAUCUAGUAUAAUAGGUUAUUCAAUUCUAAUUUAUUUCGAAAUAGCUUUAAAUCAAAAAGAUAAAGAACUACUAGAAACUAUGAAGCAAGUAUUAGGGAUUGACAAAAGUUUAUAUUAUAAUAAAAAGGAUAACACAUUAAAAUUAAGAGUAUCUAAUUUAGAUGUAUUAAUUAAUAAUGUGAUACCCCACUUUAAUAAAUUUACACAAAAGAGAGUAGACUUUUUAUUAAUGUGUAAAAUAAUAGAACUAGUGCAAGAAAACCCAUUUAACUACAGAAGGGUUAAAUUAAAUACUAAGUAUAAAAACAAUGAUGAAUCUAGGAUUAUCUAACAAAUUGAAGAAUGAAUUUUUAACAGUAAAAUCGUUAACUAGAUUGUCAGUUGAGACUGGUAUUCCUAAUAAGAACUGAUUAGUGGGAUUUAUGGAAGGAGAAUCGUGUUUUUUUUUGUAAGGGUAUAUAAUUCACCUAGAUCUAAAUUAAAUCAUGCUGUUCAAUUGGCAUUUAUAAUUACGCAGCACUCUAGAGAUAAAGUACUAGCUUGCUGUAAUUAUUAUCCGAAGGAUGCUAGCGCAGAAAAAUAUAUCUAGAUUAUUAGAAUGUGGUAGAGUAGAAACAAGAAAAUCGGGAGAUGCUUGUGAUUUUGUAGUAACAUCAUUUAAUGAUUUCAAUAAAUAUAUGAUACCAUAUUGAAAAAACUACCCUUUAAUAGGUCAUAAAUCAAACGAUUGUUUAGAUUUUAUAAGAGUAUAUGAAAUAAUGCUAAUUAAGGGUCAUUUAACUGAAGAGGGGUAGACUAAGAUAGUAGAUAUAAAAAACUCUAUGAAGACUAAAAGGGAGUAGAAUUUAAUCUUAAUAUUAAAAGCGUAAGAUUAUUCUAUGAAUAGUUUAAUAUAAAUUACAUGAUUUUUACUAAUUACGAUUAUUAUAUAAAAUAAAAUAUGUAUUGAAUUCUAGUAUGUACUAGGUCUCUUAAAAAGAGGGAAACUUAUGUUAAACUAAAUAAUAUAAUAUAUAUUUAUUAAGAUUUAAAAAUCUUAAUAUAGCUGACUUGACAAGGGUGAAAUUUGACAUAAUUAAGGUAGUAUGUUAGAUUAUAUCUGAAAUUAUGUUUGGGGCGAUGGCUCCUGUAGAAAAUUUUUGCUUGAGCCGUAUGCGAUGAAAGUUGCACGUACGGUUCUUUAAGGGGGAAAGUUCGAGAGGACCUACCUAUCUUGACUGUUUAAUUCGAUGACCCACGAAAAACCUUACCACAAUUUGUAUAAUAUUAUUAUAUUACAGGAGUUGCACGGCUGUUUUCAGUUAAUGUUGUGAAGCUGUGGUUUCCAUGAAAUUAACGAAAUCCCUGGCUUUAUUUUAUAAUUUUUUUCGAUAGAGCAGAUUUUUUCUUGAUAUGGGGAAAAAAAAAAGGGGACAAAGACAAGUCAUCAUGGCCCUAAUAUUGUGGGCUGAUAUGUGUUUAGGGAAAACACUAAAUUGGCUAAAACUAUCAAAUUCCGGGGACUUCCUAAAGAUUUUGAUACUAAGCUAUAAUUGAAAAAUUAUAAGUGGCUGAACUAAUUCUUCAGAUAGAGUAACAAGUCAAAAUAUGAACGAAAGAGAAAUGGAAUAUCGCGGAUCUAAAUCAGCAAUAUGUAAUGCUGUAAAAGAGCAACGAGUAGACGGUAGUUGACUUUUAUAUAAUAUAGCUGAACCUAAAAGAAGUUUAAGGUGUACUCUAAUGGGUUCCGAAAGGAACUAUCAAAUCAAAAACCCAACUAACCAAUUAUUAAAUAGAACUUAUUGUACUCAAUCUAAUAAUCAAGCAUUGAAUCCUUGAUUUAUAACAGGAUUUUCUGAUGCAGAGUCUUCUUUUAUUAUUUCUAUUUAUAAAGAUGAAAAUAAUAAGUUAAAAUGAAGAGUAUCAGCUUAUUUUUCUAUACAUGUUCACAUAAAAGAUCUGCCUUUAUUAGAACUAAUUCAAAAAACUUUAGGUGUAGGUAUAGUUAUAAAAAAUAAUAAAAAUACUGUUUUAUUUAGAGUUAGUAAUAUGCAAGAAUUACAAAUAGUUAUAGAUCAUUUUAAAAGAUAUCCUUUAAUUAGUGCUAAAUAUUCUGAUUUUUUAUUAUUUGAACAAUGCUAUAAUUUAAUAAAACAAAAAGAACAUUUAACACAAAAAGAUUUUAGCUUUAAAAUCUAAUUUAAAUAAAGGUUUAUCUAAUGAAUUAAAAGAUGCUUUUGCUGCUAAUAUUGUACCUGUAAGUAGACUUGAAUAUAAAUUUACCGGUAUACCAAGUCCUUUUUGAAUCUCUGGAUUUGCUACUGGUGACUCGUCAUUUAGUGUUUCUAUAGAGAAAAGUACAAGUAAAGUAGGCAAAAGAGUAAGAUUAAUUUAUGGUACUUGUUUACAUAUUAGAGAUAAAGACCUAUUAAGAGGUAUGGCAAAGUAUUUUAAUUCCUUGCCUUCAGGGUGUAUAGAUGUAGUUAAUAAAGAAAUUUCAAUACAUUGUAAUGAAAUAAAUAAUACUUCUUUACUACAAAUUAAAAAUAAUUCAGAUAUUGAAAAUAAAAUUAUACCUUUUUUUAAUGAGUAUCCUAUACUUGGAGUAAAAAAAUUAGAUUAUGAAGAUUAGCUUCGCACAAAAAAGUAGCUGAAUUAGUUAAAAAUAAAGAACGAGGCUCCGCCUACUAAAUGUUGAAGGUUUAAAUAAAAUAAUAAAAAUAGCAGAAGGAAUGAAUUUAAGUAGAAAAUGAUAAGUACUAUUAAAAAUAAAACUUAUAGUUUGUUUUAUAUAAUUGUAUGUAAAAUUUGAUUAUCCAUGAUAGACGUGCCACAUAUGCCUACACAAAGAGAUGCAAAAAUGUGAAUUGAAGCUAAUCUCAAAAAAUAGGAUAUAAGAAGGAUUGUAGUCUGAAAUUCGACUACAUGAAUAAGUAAUUACUAGUAAUCGUGAAUCACCAUGUCACGGUGAAUUAACCUUGGAUUGGUACUAACCACUCGUCACAUGCUGAAAGGAGCAUGCGCAAUAAGUUUGCUUUCUUAGUAAUUAGUAAAUAAAACAUGUAGGUUUUGUGUCUAUUAUUAGGAAUCUUCGUAUGCGUGGCUCUAAUUAGUGUUACCCCCCUCC